AGUGAACGCUGGCGGUAGGCCUAACACAUGCGAGUCGAACGGCAGCACAGUAAGAGCUUGCUCUUACGGGUGGCGAGUGGCGGACGGGUGAGGAAUACAUCGGAAUCUACUUUUUCGUGGGGGAUAACGUAGGGAAACUUACGCUAAUACCGCAUACGACCUACGGGUGAAAGCAGGGGAUCUUCGGACCUUGCGCGAUUGAAUGAGCCGAUGUCGGAUUAGCUAGUUGGCGGGGUAAAGGCCCACCAAGGCGACGAUCCGUAGCUGGUCUGAGAGGAUGAUCAGCCACACUGGAACUGAGACACGGUCCAGACUCCUACGGGAGGCAGCAGUGGGGAAUAUUGGACAAUGGGCGCAAGCCUGAUCCAGCCAUACCGCGUCGGUGAAGAAGGCCUUCGGGUUGUAAAGCCCUUUUGUUGGGAAAGAAAAGCAGCAGGUUAAUACCCCGCUGUUCUGACGGUACCCAAAGAAUAAGCACCGGCUAACUUCGUG
Molecule: ribosomal RNA, 492 nt
Filed under: uncultured bacterium
Lineage: Bacteria
Description: partial 16S ribosomal RNA
Rfam family: Bacterial small subunit ribosomal RNA
Source: RNAcentral